AGAGUUUGAUCCUGGCUCAGGACGAACGCUGGCGGCGUGCUUAACACAUGCAAGUCGAACGGGGUGUUUAUUUCGGUAAACACCAAGUGGCGAACGGGUGAGUAACGCGUAAGCAAUCUACCUUCAAGAUGGGGACAACACUUCGAAAGGGGUGCUAAUACCGAAUGAAUGUAAGAGUAUCGCAUGAGACACUUACUAAAGGAGGCCUCUGACAUAAGCUUCCGCUUGAAGAUGAGCUUGCGUCUGAUUAGCUAGUUGGUGAGGGUAAAGGCCCACCAAGGCGACGAUCAGUAGCCGGUCUGAGAGGAUGAACGGCCACAUUGGGACUGAGACACGGCCCAGACUCCUACGGGAGGCAGCAGUGGGGAAUCUUCCGCAAUGGGCGAAAGCCUGACGGAGCAACGCCGCGUGAACGAUGAAGGUCUUAGGAUCGUAAAGUUCUGUUGUUAGGGACGAAAGGUAAGAAUCAUAAUAAGGUUUUUAUUUGACGGUACCUAACGAGGAAGCCACGGCUAACUACGUGCCAGCAGCCGCGGUAAUACGUAGGCGGCAAGCGUUGUCCGGAAUUAUUGGGCGUAAAGGGAGCGCAGGCGGGAAACUAAGCGGAUCUUAAAAGUGCGGGGCUCAACCCCGUGAUGGGGUCCGAACUGGUUUUCUUGAGUGCAGGAGAGGAAAGCGGAAUUCCCAGUGUAGCGGUGAAAUGCGUAGAUAUUGGGAAGAACACCAGUGGCGAAGGCGGCUUUCUGGACUGUAACUGACGCUGAGGCUCGAAAGCUAGGGUAGCGAACGGGAUUAGAUACCCCGGUAGUCCUAGCCGUAAACGAUGGAUACUAGGUGUGGGAGGGAUCGACCCCCUUCCCUGCCCGAAUUAACGCAAUAA
Molecule: ribosomal RNA, 880 nt
Filed under: uncultured bacterium
Lineage: Bacteria
Description: bacterial SSU rRNA
Rfam family: Bacterial small subunit ribosomal RNA
Source: RNAcentral